CACNUCUAGCAUUACAAGUAUUAGAGGCACUGCCUGCCCAGUGACAUUUAAGUUUAACGGCCGCGGUAUCCUGACCGUGCAAAGGUAGCAUAAUCACUUGUUCUCUAAAUAAGGACUAGUAUGAAUGGCUUAACGAGGGUUUAACUGUCUCUUUCUUAUAGUCAGUGAAAUUGACCUCCCCGUGAAGAGACGGGGAUACAACAAUAAGACGAGAAGACCCUAUGGAGCUUUAAUUUAUUACUUCAUUCUUACUUAAUUAAAUCAACAGAAAGUAACAAAAUAUAAGUUAUGAAUUAACAAUUUUGGUUGGGGUGACCUCGGAGUAAAAUCAAACCUCCGAAUGAUUCUAGCAUAGAUUUACAUAUCAAUGCUCCUAUCAUAAAUUGACCCAGAAAUAAAUCUGAUCAACGGACCAAGUUACCCUAGGGAUAACAGCGCAAUCCUAUUAUAGAGUCCAUAUCGACAAUAGGGUUUACGACCUCGAUGUUGGAUCAGGACCCCCAAAUGGUGCAACCGCUAUUAAAGGUUCGUUUGUUCAACGAUUAAAGUCCU
RNAcentral lists this ribosomal RNA (552 nucleotides) under Makalata macrura (Long-tailed armored tree-rat). RNAcentral describes it as "partial 16S ribosomal RNA". It matches the Rfam family "Bacterial large subunit ribosomal RNA", at positions 1816 to 2597 of the family's 2925-position model. The record is from RNAcentral. Lineage: Eukaryota; Metazoa; Chordata; Mammalia; Rodentia; Echimyidae.